GGGUCAAACUUGACGCAGGCG
Molecule: small nuclear RNA, 21 nt
Filed under: Arabidopsis thaliana (thale cress)
Lineage: Eukaryota; Viridiplantae; Streptophyta; Magnoliopsida; Brassicales; Brassicaceae
Description: snRNA_04501
Source: RNAcentral